UUUUCCAAAAACAUAAUUAAUAGAAAUAAUUAUUAAUAAAUCCUGCUCAAUGAAAAUUAAAUAGCCGCAGUUCAUACUGUGCUAAGGNAGCAUAAUCAUUUGUCUUUUAAUUAAAGACUAGAAUGAAAGGAUAAACAUUUAAUUUCUUAUUAUAAAUUUCUAAAUUCAAUUUAUUUUAAAUGUAAAAAAACAUUUAUUUUUAGAAAGNCGAAAAGNCCCUAUUGAACUUAACUUAAGUUAAACUGGGGCNGUUAAUUAAUAAACAUUUUAAUAUUUUAAAAAUAAUUGNCCCGAUAUAAUCGACUAUAUAAUCAAGUUACCAUAGGGAUAACAGCGUAAUAAUUUUCNUUAGAUCUUAUAUAAAAAAAUGAUUACGACCUCGAUGNUGAAUUAAUUACUCUAUUAAAUGCAACCAAUUAAAAAGAAAGUCGUCGCNU
Molecule: ribosomal RNA, 437 nt
Filed under: Holconia hirsuta
Lineage: Eukaryota; Metazoa; Arthropoda; Arachnida; Araneae; Sparassidae
Description: partial 16S ribosomal RNA
Source: RNAcentral